Molecule: long non-coding RNA, 3057 nt
Filed under: Cricetulus griseus (Chinese hamster)
Lineage: Eukaryota; Metazoa; Chordata; Mammalia; Rodentia; Cricetidae
Description: lncRNA (ENSCGRG00015041689.1)
Source: RNAcentral
AUCCCCACAUAAAAUAUGAAUGCAGCAGUGUGUGCUGAAAUCCAGCUCUGGGGAGGCAGAAACAAGAGGAUUCUGAGCAAAAUGGAGGCAAGUGAUAAUGUGGCUUUACAGUACAGACUCAAAGCCUGAGUGACUCAUGAUGUAAGUGACAGAGUUGCAAUUUGAACACACUGCAUCUGGCCAAGAAGAGAAGUGGCAAGAUCUGAAGAAGAACAAAGUAUGGAGGAAGUUAAAAGAAUACAGUGGGUUGGUGACUGGCUAAAGACACUUGCUGGGAAAGCCUGGUGACCAGAGUUUUAUCCCCAGAAUGCACGUAAAAGGGAGAGGGAGAGAACCAGCUCUACAGUUAUUCUCUGACCUCUACACGGGUACUGUGGAAUAUCAUGCACACACACAAUAAUAAUAAUAAAAUAAAAAUGUCAAAAUAUAGCCAAACAUCAGGUGUCAUGGCACAGCCUGUAAUCUUGGCACUCAUGAGGACGAGGACUGCAAGUUCAAGGUGAACCUGAGCUUCAUAGUGAGUUCCAUCCCAGCUUGAACAACCCACUGAGAUCCAGUGUCAAAGAACUAACUGGGCAUGCCAGCAAGAUGGCUCAGAGGGUAAAGGUACUCACUAACAACCUGAAUUCAAUCCGAUGUGGGACUCACAUAGUAGAAGCAAAAAACCAAUUCCGCUAAAUUGUCCUCUGACCACCACACCUGUGCUGUGGCUCAUGUGCCUGUGUACAUAGAUAUACACACACAAAAUAAGUAAACAUUGUAAGGUGGGGGUGGGGGAAGGACCCUAAAACUAACCAGGGGCUGGAGAGACGGUUCUGAUAUUAAGAGCACUUACUCUGCAAUUACAAGGACCAGAAUUGAGAAUGCAGCACUCACUUAACAAGCCAGGCAUCUCUGAAAAUGCCUCUAACUCCAACCCCAGGGUGAGUGGAAACAAGAGGAUCUGGGGGCGUGCUGGCUUUCAGCCUGAGACAGUGAGUCAGUCUUAGGUUCAAGCAAGGCACUUGCCUCAGAAGAACACGCAGAAAGUGACAGCAGAGGACACCUAAUACCCUCUUCAGGCCUGUGUGAGCUGUAUGCAGGUGCAUACACACACAACACACACACAAGAUUACGUCUAAAAGACACUAAUUUAAAAAUACAGAAUUAGAAAUGAUGACUAUCCUUUCUGAUGAAAGCUAAAAAAAACAAACUCCUGACAAUGGAAGAAAACCAACUCUGCAAAAUUCGAAAGGCCAGGGAGGGGAGAGGGUGUGGGCCCACAGGUCAGGACAGCACACAAGCUUUGCUUGGGGCCUCUGUGAUCUCAUCAGUGCUUUUCAAUGAGCAAACUUCGGACAUAGAAGACAACUACAAGUGUCACAGACAACAGACCCCAGAUCUUCCUAUGACCACACUAAAGCUUGUGUGGUGCACAAGGACCUGAGCCUCUUUUCCUCUCUGAGACCUUAUGCUUUUAAAGAGUUAUCCCCCUAUCUCCACGCUGAAUCCACCAGUGUCAAUCUCACUGGUGCUGGUGCCACCAACCUACUCAGUAUUCACAAGGAGCCUCUGCUUUUCCUUCCCCUGGAGAUGUCUGUCCCAGGCUUCCCGCACAUGACAUCUGCUUCCUCAGAAACGGAUCAGAGCCAAGACAGGGCUAAAGAGAAGGCUUAGUGGGUAAGAGCAUCGUUGCUCUUGUAGAGGACCUAGGUUCAGUUCCCAGCACCCACAUAGUGGCUCACAACUUCAAGUUCCCGGGGAUCCAAUGCCCCUUUUUGGCCUCUUUAGGCCUAAAUGCAGAGAAAACCCUGGUACACAUAAAAGUGUAAGAACCCAGAAAGGAGGAGGGUGCGUAGUCAGUCUUCCAUUGCUGCACAAACACCUGAGAUAACUAAUGAAGAGGAAAGGUUGCUGGGUGUGAUGGAUGGUGCACACCUGUAAUCCUAGCACUUGGGAGACUGAGGCAGGAUGACAUGGGUUCAAGGUCAGCCUGGGCUACAUACCAAAACUCUUGUCUCAAAAAUAAAUACAUAAAUGUUUAUUUUGGCCACAAUUUUGUUGAGUUCGUGGCUCACUAUGUUGCUCUGAGGUCCCUAGCAAGGCAGCACACCAUGGAAGAAGCAUGUGGCAGAGCAAAACCUGCUAUAUCAGACCAUAAACUCAAGAGGUAAGUAAAGUAGUAAAGAGUAAGGAAAGUAAAGAGCUGAGGCUCUCAGCCUUUCUGGAUUAUUGAGGAGGUCAAAGUGUGUUGCAGAAUGAGGUGCUGGUCAUUUGCCAUGGUCAUCAGAUCACCUAUGCGUGCUGGGGGCCAGACUGCUGAAGCUCCCUCAGAAGAGAUGGGAAGGGUCACUGGGCCAGAGCUUUCAGCUUCUCCCCCUAGCCAUUUAUAUGUCAUUCUGCCUAAUUGCAUGGGAUCUUAGGAGGAGCUGGAGUACACUGACUAUGGGGAAGCCAUCAGCCAUGACCGGUAGGGACUUUCAGGCGCCCAACUUUAGGGUCACUCACUUUUGUAGGCAAUCCCUCAUUCACGCUCCAGAAACUCAGUGGUUCCACAGGAUGAACUUUGGGGCAAUCAGUUUGAUCUGUCAUUGGGGCCUUAUGAGGAAUAGGAAGACUUUUUUUUUUUUUUUAAACCUCUCUCCAGGGAGGGAAUUCUUGCAAGUCAUCAACACAUCGACAUUAAUAUUAUGCGCCGUCGAGCUAAGUAAUCAACGGCAACCCCAAGAGACGGAGCGAUAAAUACCCUGACGCCACGGUACAGUCACUAAAGUCACGUUUCCAGGAUUCCUCCCCAAAACAUUAAAGUUUGUACUCAGGGCUACUUUCUAGUUCCGAGGAAACCACCGAGUCACGUGUCCUCCUCUGCGGGUCCCAGGCCAGGCGCGCCCCCACACGCCCACGUUCCUCAAGUCACCCCUUUCGGUGCUCCAACACGCUCCCGGCCCCCCUUCUCGCCUGAGGUUCUCGCGUCUACACCGGCCUGCUCCGCUCCCGAAGCUGGGUCCUGAGGGAGGGGACGCAGCAACAAGAGUGUUGUCUCCGCGCACGCCGCACGCCCGCGGGAUCAGGGGCGAC